Vicugna pacos (alpaca) is the source of this 3997-nucleotide non-coding RNA. Lineage: Eukaryota; Metazoa; Chordata; Mammalia; Artiodactyla; Camelidae. The record is from RefSeq and is a predicted model, not a curated record.
CUUAGAGCGAUCUAGGCUGGCAGGCAGGCGUCAGCUACGUCAUGGUUGAGUGUGCGGACUCUGGGGUCAGAUUGACCUCGGUCUAAACCGAGCUCUGCCACUUCCCAGCUGGCUGCCUUGUGAUAAGCCUUAGCUCCAGGGCAGCUUGGUGGUACAUAGGUGCCUGGUACAUAGUAAGUGCUCACCUGUUAACGAUUAUUAGCUUUCAUGCAGUUAGUCAACAAACAGGUCCAGGGUGAGGCCCUCGAAACACAAGGACAAAUGAGACAGUUUCAGUGUCACUCACUUGCUCACUCAGAAUUCACUCCUCUUUGCUGUCUGCCCUGUGCUUGGGGUUGGACAAAUAGUCAUUCUUAUUACAGGUCAUACUCAGUGAGCUCUUACUCUGUGCUAGGUGCUCUUCCCAGCACUCUUACGUGUUGUAAGUCACAACUGUACCACUAGGUGAGAGAGAUUAGGUAACUUGCCUGAGCUCACACAGCCUGAAGGUGGCAAUGCUGGGAUUCAAACCAGGUCAGAGGCUGCCCUUAAAUAUGACACUGGUCAGAGAUGAAUGUGUCUUUGCUCUUGCCAAGUCAUGGUCUAGUGGAGAGGCGAUGGGGCAGUGGUGAUGAUGGCGUUGUGGGGCUCAGGGUCUUGGGGCGGACUCUGGGCGGCCUGCCCAAAUGUGUUCCUUGGGCAGUCAAGGCCACCUGGUGGCACCCAGAGGAAGUGGAUCUUGGUUCACGAAUCCCUUGCUGGCCAAGGCCAGUGUUCAAGCAGAUGUGUCCCCCGGCCCAGGGUCCCAGGUCAGGGACCGAGGAGGAGGACUUCCGAGCCUGCCCUCUCCCUGUUCCUUUUUCAGACCCACGUAUCCUAGCCUCCUUGCAGAGCAGGCUGCCUUCUAGUCCCUUCUCCCUUCUCGGUUCCUCCUCUCCUGGCCACCGUGUCUGCCUGCUUACUGUCCUGCCCCGCAGCUCUCAGACCCUUCUCUCUCUCUCUGACUCCCUGUCCUGGUACUUCCCUGGGCCCCACAGAGGGAGGCGUAUUUUGCACGGCUACGGCGGGCUCACCAGGUAGGCCUGUGAUCUGAGUGAUGUGACCUGGAGUGCUGUGUUCUUGGAUGCCCUCAGCCCCGCAUGGGGAGGUGCCCAGUACCCACGGCAGUGUGGGUCCUCGUGGACCCGGGUUGGGCCCAAUGGCCCAUGGUCAGGGCACUGCUUUGCCCAAACCCUGGGAUGGCAGGAAUUUGCCAGGAGGGGUGUGUGCCUCAUCUGCUGUGUGGUCUGGUCCUGGUGCCAGUUGUCUGUGGCCAGAAAGGUGGCAGGGAAACUAACAUGAUGCUAAACCACGUGACUAUACCUGGCCCACCAGGUUACCCUAGCACUGCCUCUCAAGCAGCCUCCAUUAACCACCUGUGUGUGUAUGGCCCUCAAGCGGCCCGGAGUUAACCCCAGCGUGCCAGCCUGGGGAGGGGAGCAUGCAUCUUUUUUCCCAGUCAAUGUGGGCCUUUCUGGCCACCAUAUCCAUGGGGAGAGAACACUCACCAGGGCUCUAGCUCUGGGGCUCAGAGGUUCUGAGCUGGCCUGUGCCCUCUACCCGUCAGAACCGCACGUCCCUCUCAGAGGAGCAGUUGCGGGCAGCUGUGACAGCGGGGAGGAUCCCGGGGCCCCCACGGGGCAAGGGCUGGGCACAGCAGCCAUCACAGGUGGAUGAGGCCCAGAGGCGGAUGGAUGCUGAGAUCUGGCAGCUCCUUUCCAGUUUUGCUGCCCACCCCCCUCCCCCUCCCCAGAGACUCUCUCCCCAUCCCCAGCCUGCAGCUGCUCUGCAAGAAGCUCCACCCUCCUCUCCCUCCUCCUCUUCUUCCUCCAUCUCUUCCUCCUUCUCCUCCUCCACUUCCCUGUCUUCCUCAGCAGGCUCUCAGUUCUCUCUGUCCUACGAAGGCUUCUCUCUGCUUCCUGAAAGACUCUAUUAUUGGCAGCUGCCCAAAGCCUUCCUGGGGAACAAGGUAACAAGGAUUUGGGGGGAGGUAACAGGGGUUCCAUAGAAUCCUAAAAUAUCCAAAGGCACUUUGUCAAAGGACACAGAUGCGUGGACCAAGGCUCAGAGAGGGCGCCCACAUCCAGGUCAAAGCUGGGCUAUGAUUGAACCCAGCUCUACUCUUACCCUUCAGCGGGCCGCAAGCCCUGGCAGAGGGGCUCUCUCCUGGGAGGUAAAACACCCUUCUUUGGGCUCCUUGUCCCCUGUAUCCAGAUCACUGACCUAGCUCUGGGCACUACAUUCAUUCAUUCAAGAAGCAUAAAUUGGUACUUAACUGUGUGCUGUAUUGUGUGUAGGCGGAGCAAGACCCUGGCCUCCCAGAGCUCCUGUUAGUCUGAUUAUCCUUCCUGCCAUCAACAGCAUCAGCCUCUGCAUUGUCAUUAUUAUUAUUAGCACUGCAUUAUUGUUAGUGUUGUUCCAAAAGUGACUGCCUGCCUCUUAAGAAUACACACAGUAUACAGUAAAAUAACAUUCAGAGAAGCAGACAAGACAGCCUGGUCCAGGGGGAAAUGAAGAUCGGGAAGAUCUGCUGGAGCGAAGGGUAGAGAUGGGUGCAGUGAGGAGUUAGCAAGCAUUGAGGCUGUGUGUUCGGCUGGCCCUGUGCUGAGUGCAGGAUGUUACAUGGCCUAUAUUACUUAAUCCUCAUCCUGCCUUUCAAGGGAGGUAUUGUUUGUAUUCCCAUUUCCAUAUGAGGAAAGUUGAGCUCAGAGAAAUGAAGUGACUUGUCCAAGGCUAUCUAGCCAGUAGAGCUGGACUUGAACUCUGCUCUUAGACUGCAGAAUCUGCUCCCUUAGCCACCAGCUUGGUCCUAGACAUGGCAAUGAACUUGGGCAUCCAAAGCAAACGGGAAACCAGCUGUUUCAUGGUUAUCUGGUUGUGCCCCUGAAUUCCCUACCUCGCCCUGAGCUUACAGAGAACAUUCUCAGAGCUUGUGUAGCCUGGGGCCUGGCAUGCAGUCAGUAGAUGUUUGAUAAAUGCUUAUCAACUGAAAGAACACAAAUGAACAAAUGGGCUAGGCCUGCCACAGUGUGGUAUUGAUCUGAACAUCUGCCCUGUUGGCAGAGGAGAGAAAGGAAAAUCCUGUGGGCAGAGCUGGGGCCUUACUGCCCACAUGCAGGUGCCCAGCAGCAGGUGUAAGGACUCUUACAGUUGUAAGCAGUAGAAUACCCAGCUCCAGCUGGCUUGUCCGCAACAAAGAAUCUUUUGGCUCGUGUAACUACAAAGCCCAAGGAUAUCAGGCAUGGCUGGAUCCAGGAGCUCAUUAGGACUUUAUCUCAGUUGGAGCCAUUCUCCAACUUCUGAUCUGACUAGUAAAGGAAGUUUCUCUGUGCCAGUGGAAAGAGCAGAAGUACCAGGUUCACACAUUCAUCCCUGAUGGAGCAGAGACAGUGAGUGGUGGAAUAUGCAGAUGAGCCAGACCUGGCUCAUGUCUCCACUGCAGAGGAGGGGGCGGGCCCCUCAAACCACAUGGCCUCCCUGUAGAACAGUUCCCUUUAAAGGAAACCAGGACUGCAGUUCGCAAAAACGGGAGAAAUGGAUUCUGAACAAACAAACAAAAACCCUAUCUACCCAGGAGGCAAACGCUCUAAGUGGCUACCUUCAGGACCCUCCACCCCACCCCAACAACGGCUGAGAACUUUUGAACCUUCUACAACCUCCCCUGGUGGUCACUGCCAUUACCUCAUUCUGCUUUAUGGGAAAUUCCUUUAACGGAAGGGACUUGGAGUUUGUUUGCUGGAAUUGUCAGAUGAUGGGACAUGGGGAACCGCAUAUAACAGAAAAGAGGCUUCUCAGGCUCACUGCCACCAGGUCUGAGACUGAAGAAACUGAGAGAUAUCCUCUCACUUGGGCAACCUCUGGCCUCUGGUUGAGUGGGGGUGGGGGGGACAGCACAGGUGCAAAAGGGCCUGGAGAGGCUCCGCCCCCUCACCUGUGUGGUCCCACACACCCCAGAAGAGGGCAGUCAGGUUGUGAAUGC